CCAGACUCCUACGGGAGGCAGCAGUGGGGAAUAUUGCACAAUGGGGGAAACCCUGAUGCAGCGACGCCGCGUGAGCGAUGAAGUAUUUCGGUAUGUAAAGCUCUAUCAGCAGGGAAGAAAAUGACGGUACCUGACUAAGAAGCCCCGGCUAACUACGUGCCAGCAGCCGCGGUAAUACGUAGGGGGCAAGCGUUAUCCGGAUUUACUGGGUGUAAAGGGUGCGUAGGUGGCAGGGCAAGUCAGAUGUGAAAGCCCGGGGCCCAACCCCGGUACUGCAUUUGAAACUGUCCGGCUGGAGUGCAGGAGAGGUAAGCGGAAUUCCUAGUGUAGCGGUGAAAUGCGUAGAUAUUAGGAGGAACACCAGUGGCGAAGGCGGCUUACUGGACUGUAACUGACACUGAGGCACGAAAGCGUGGGGAGCAAACAGGAUUAGAUACCCGCGUA
Molecule: ribosomal RNA, 444 nt
Filed under: uncultured bacterium
Lineage: Bacteria
Description: bacterial SSU rRNA
Rfam family: Bacterial small subunit ribosomal RNA
Source: RNAcentral